GACGAACGCUGGCGGCGGGCUUAACACAUGCAAGUCGAACGGAAAGGCCCGGCUUUGGUGGGGUGCUCGAGGGGCGAACGGGGGAGUAACACGUGAGUAACCUGCCCUUGACGGUGGGAUAACUUCAUGAAACUUGGGCUAAUACCGGAUAGGAGCUCCUGCUUUUUGGUGGGCGCUGGAAAGUUUCGGCGGUUGGGGAAGGUCUCGGCGCUUAUCGGCUUGUUGGUGGGGUAGUGGCUUACCAAGGCUUUGACGGGUAGCCGGCCUGAGAGGGUGACCGGCCACAUUGGGACUGAGCUACGGCCCAGACUCCUACGGGAGGCAGCAGUGGGGAGUAUUGCACAAUGGGCGGAAGCAUGAUGCAGCAACGCCGCGUGCGGGAUGACGGCCUUCGGGUUGUAAACCGCUUUCGCCUGUGACGAAGCGUGAGUGACGGUAAUGGGUAAAGAAGCACCGGCUAACUACGUG
This 468-nucleotide ribosomal RNA is filed under the name uncultured bacterium. RNAcentral's name for it is "partial 16S ribosomal RNA". It matches the Rfam family "Bacterial small subunit ribosomal RNA", at positions 28 to 507 of the family's 1533-position model. The record is from RNAcentral.